This is a long non-coding RNA of Nicotiana tabacum (common tobacco), 3522 nucleotides long. RefSeq lists it as uncharacterized. The record is from RefSeq and is a predicted model, not a curated record. NCBI's taxonomy places the organism in Eukaryota, Viridiplantae, Streptophyta, Magnoliopsida, Solanales, Solanaceae.
GAUUGAGUUUCUUCAUCCUAUUCAUCUCUAAACACGUGUAUUCCACUUUCAAUUUAUAUUUUUUUACUGCCACACUCCAAUAGUCCAUUCUAGAAACUAUUCUGAUCAUCAUCCUUCAAUUUGAUCUCUUUGAGAUGUUUUAAUUUGGUUCCAAGUUUUCUCGGCUAAUUUCUCUAUUUCUCAAUUAGUUUGAGUUUUCUGCUUUCUUUUCUUUGUUUAAUCACCACUGCUUCUUACAUGACUCACUUCUUAGUUUUACUGUUUUUAUAUAGCCCUCCAUUGAAUCUAUGGGUUCUGGUAAGGAUUUUUACUCUUUUUAUUUUUGCUGCAAGAUUUUUAGAAAUUGCAACAGUCUUUAUUUUGAGCCCUAAAUCCCUCCUUAAGAUGUUAAUGGAAACUUGUGCAAUUUGUGUCCCCUCAGAGGGCAUCCGAUUGAAAAGAAUAAAACUUGUGCAAUUGGUUAGUUUGGGAACAAGGUGUGGGUCUACUGUAUUUUCUGAUAUAGUAAGUUUUUUUCGAUUCUUUCUUUGAUUUUUGCCUUUGUUUCUUGGUAAUAAGAAUUUGGUGGAUAUUUGAUAGUUUUUCUAGAUUCUCUUGCAUAGGUUCUUGCUGGAUUUUGUACAUGCAUGUCACUACUGUUUCUUAUUUACAGAUGCAUGUUUGUAUAUAGAUGUCUAGGUGCAUGUUUGAGAUACAUAAUUGUUUCUAAUUUUAAUUGAGUAAGAUUGGUACUUUCAACUGGAGCCUAAGCUCCGUUCUUGAAGCAGUGUCAUUGGAUUUUACCAUCGCUCUCUUGGCAUGAUUAUUCUUUUUCUAUAUUCUUUAUGAAGCAAACAAAGAUAUUGAUGCAAUGGCAUUGGAAAAGAUAAGGUUACCCGUUUGUUGCAUUUGAUUACCUGUUACUUUUACUCUUCCUCUUCCAGUAAGGUUACCCGUUUGUUGCAUUUGAUUUGGUUUUCUUUCCCAUUAUCAGAUCUUUCAGUUCAAUUGGCUUCCAGUUACCGAUGCCUAUAAGCACUGAGCACCAAUUGACCGAGCACAAUCAUCCUCUAUUGUUACCUAUGUCUCUAUUUCUUGGCCAUUAGCUCUACUACUCUUUCCAAUAAGCUUCGACUUGCCUCAUUUUCUUUUGGCCUAUUGCUUGGUUGAUUCACUGAGUCUGCACAUGCAUGCUCUUAUAGCUGACCAUUUUUUUGUGAAUUUUAUUUUAGUGAUUUUUUCAUGUAACAUGAGAGACAGCAUUGCAAUGAUUAAAUUAUAUACAUGUUACAUAUGUUUUCUUUACAUGACACAGAAUACAUGUUUGGAGAAAAGUCACUGUUAGAAAGUCAAGCUUUCUUUGUAAGGUUCAGGAGUAAAAUCUCAGCUUUGUAUACCUUCUAAGUUUAAAGAUUGAGCUUUCAGGUUGCUUACAUUUCCCAAGAAUGACAGCUAAUUUGUAUAUGCAUCCUAGUUCAAAGGCUACAACUGUCCUGCAGGAGUUCAAAGACCUUGAGGUCAAAUUAAAUGAAUCAUGACAUAAUGGAUUUUCAGGUGCUUUCUAUUACGCUGCCAAAAUCCUCCAUAGAGACCACUCUCAUGGCAAUCAGCAAGAAUCAACUGAACACAUUUCUCAAUCCAUCAACUGAAAAUGGUAAUUCAAGAAGUCUAUUUUGCAAGCUUACAAUUUACUAUAAUACAUUUUGGGUAGCUUAUAGCCUUUGUUUCUAUGACUUAUCUUCAAGACUUCCUAACUUAGAUUGCGCACAUCCUUAAAUCUUAGCCUUCUCGGGUUUAAAGUUUCGAGCUAAUGUUAAAUUUAAGUAUUUAUGCUAACACAAUUUGAGUUCUAUUUUCGUCUGUUUUGAUAUAGAAUGAAGUAGUUAUGUCUAUAUAUGUUUGAGACCAAAUGCAAAAAGAUUUCAAGAAAUAUUAUAGACAUUGCAAAACAGAAAGACUUAAUCGUUCAAUGGCCAUGACUAUGUCCUUUCAUAGAUUGAGAAAGAUAAAUUUACUCUUUUUCAUCAAAUGAAUUGUCUCAAUGCAAAACCAAGUAAAUUUGCAUCUAAUGUUGUUGAAUCGUUGAUAAUGUGGAUUGGAAAAAUGAUGACAAUUUAAAAUUACAAAACUGUAACUUCGUUGCAAUCUUAAGGAGGCCAGACUAACGAAACAAGCUCUCUUACCAUGAUUAUGGCCUCUCAUGUUUAAAUUCAUUCUUUUACACUUCACAUAUUAUUUAGAAAAUGGUUCUACUCCAAAAAAUUUAGCAAGUUAAUAUAAACAGAGCUAAAAGAGGGGAUCGAAAAUAUGCUACAUUUGAUAUGCCUGCAAGUGGAAUACGGCAUGGUAGUAUAGGUGCACAAUAUCACAUUAUGAUUCAUUAUCAACACUGAUCUCCACUAUAUUAUAUUUUUCAUUAGUGGUUCUAAAUUUUUCACAGAAAGAAGAGUAAAAAAGGAUGCACCAACUGAUAAAUAAAAAAGGCAGAAAAUUUGAGUAGUUACAGUGUAGGAUCACCAUAUAGUGUAGGUGAAAAAGCAGAAAGUCAUCCUGUCCACUAGAAACCUGUUGCAAGUAUUGCUGAGCAAAAAAAACUCAGUUUGAGCCUCUACAUUAGUUCGUCAUGAUGACCAUGUUACAUAGAAUGUUGUUUAUUCUAAAGCCAUUUGGAAAAAAAAUGUUUAAAUAGUGACCUAAUAGAAAAACAUGCUUAAGAGAGACAAGACUGGGAUAUUAGUCGUUACUAACCCUCCCAUGAGUGCAGUUUUGAAUUGAGAAUUCAAGAUAUGUGAGUCGACUAGCUUUCAGCGGGCAAAAAAAUAGUCAUUUUCUAUUUCUACCAGUUUCUGGUUGCCAAUAUUAUAAUAUGUUAUUUAGUUCGAUUGGUAUUAGUUUUACUCACAUGAUCAAUUUUUGCAGUCAAUAUUAUGUUUGGAGACACUGAUGAGAAGUAUAUUUUUUUUGGCAAUUGAAUAAUUUGUCAGUUGCUAUAUUUCACUUGAUAAAUUUUACAUAUUUGUUGGUGUGGAUAAAUAUUCUAUCCAUCAUUUUUGUUAUUAUUUCUUCUAUUGGAUUAGCAUAAGCAUAUGAUAAGUUUCAUUUUAUGAUGCUUCUUGGUUUUUGCUGCUUGAAGAUGUUGACAUUAUAUUUGAGAAAAAUCAGUCACUUCACAGUAGUGAGCUGUCAGUAGUAACCCUUUGUUAGGGGAGAAGAAAAAAGCCAAUAUUAUACCCUGCUUCCUGUUGAGGCUUUGGCUGCAAAGCUACUCAGUAAUGGAAAGGAGAGAAAUAUCAUGCAAAAUUAAAUUUUUGUAGUGGAGAAGGAAAAUGGUGACUCUGUACCACUGUUGCUGCCUUUCUUCUUGCUGCUCUGUGUUUAUAGUUUCUGCCUUUGUAUGAAUAAUGAACUAAAAACGUUUUGUUAUAUUAUAAUUUUAUAUUUCGUAUAUAAACUGUCGGGGCAAUGUAACUACUCCCUGCCUCUCAAUUUAUGUGGCACCAUUUGGAUUUCGAGAGUAGUUUUACUUUGAUCAUGAUUUUCUCA